Molecule: ribosomal RNA, 292 nt
Filed under: uncultured Planctomycetota bacterium
Lineage: Bacteria; Pseudomonadati; Planctomycetota
Description: uncultured planctomycete partial 16S ribosomal RNA
Source: RNAcentral
GGACUACCGGGGUAUCUAAUCCCGUUUGCUCCCCUGGCUUUCGCGCCUCAGCGUCAGAAGAGGUCCAGCACGUCGCUUUCGCCACCGGCGUUCCUUCCGAUAUCUACGCAUUUCACCGCUCCACCGGAAGUUCCACAUGCCCCUACCUCCCUCCAGCAACGCAGUAUCCAAGGCCCUUUUCCGGUUAAGCCGAAAGCUUUCACCCCGGACUUGCAUUGCCGCCUACGCGCCCUUUAAGCCCAGUGAAUCCGAACAACGUUCGCACGGUUCGUCUUACCGCGGCUGCUGGCAC